RNAcentral lists this ribosomal RNA (456 nucleotides) under uncultured bacterium. Its description in RNAcentral is "bacterial SSU rRNA". It matches the Rfam family "Bacterial small subunit ribosomal RNA", at positions 340 to 786 of the family's 1533-position model. The record is from RNAcentral.
UACGGGAGGCAGCAGUGGGGAAUAUUGCACAAUGGGCGAAAGCCUGAUGCAGCUAUGCCGCGUGUAUGAAGAAGGCCUUAGGGUUGUAAAGUACUUUCAUCGGGGAGGAAAAAACAAAACUAAUAAUUUUAUUUCUUGACGUUACCCGAAAAAGAAGCACCGGCUAACUCCGUGCCAGCAGCCGCGGUAAUACGGAGGGUGCUAGCGUUAAUCAGAAUUACUGGGCGUAAAGAGCACGUAGGUGGUUUUUUAAGUCAGAUGUGAAAUCCCUGGGCUUAACCUAGGAACUGCAUUUUGAAACUGAAAUACUAGAGUAUCGUAGAGGGAGGUAGAAUUCUAGGUGUAGCGGUGAAAUGCGUAGAUAUCUGGAGGAAUACCUGUGGCGAAAGCGGCCUCCUAAACGAAUACUGACACUGAGGGUGCGAAAGCGUGGGGAGCAAACAGGGAUUAGAUACC